RNAcentral lists this ribosomal RNA (484 nucleotides) under uncultured bacterium. RNAcentral describes it as "partial 16S ribosomal RNA". It matches the Rfam family "Bacterial small subunit ribosomal RNA", at positions 28 to 507 of the family's 1533-position model. The record is from RNAcentral.
AUUGAACGCUGGCGGCAGGCUUAACACAUGCAAGUCGAGCGGCAGCACGGGGGCAGCCCGGGUGGGUGGUUGCGGACGGGGGAGAAAUACAUUGGAACGUGCCCGGUCGGGGGGGAUAGCGUUGAUAAAGUUACGCUAAUACCGCAUACGGUCUGAGGGUGAAAGCGGUGGACCGUGUUGGCUCGCGCGGUCGGAGGGGCCAAGGUCGGAUUAGGCAGUGGGUGGGGGAAGGGCCUACGAGGCCGACGAUCUGUAGCUGGUCUGAGAGGACGACCAGCCACCCUGGGAGUGAGAAACGGCCCAGACUCCUAGAGGAGGCCGCAGUGGGGAAUCUUACACAAUGGGCGAAAGCCUGAUCCAGGCCUACCGCGUGAACGACGAACGCCUUCGGGCUGUAGAGUGAUUUAGUCCGGAAGGAAGUAGAUCUGGCUAAUCUCUGGAGAUCAUGACGGUACCAGCAGAAUAAGCACCGGCUAACUCCGUG